RNAcentral lists this ribosomal RNA (907 nucleotides) under uncultured bacterium. RNAcentral's name for it is "bacterial SSU rRNA". It matches the Rfam family "Bacterial small subunit ribosomal RNA", at positions 8 to 916 of the family's 1533-position model. The record is from RNAcentral.
AGAGUUUGAUCCUGGCUCAGAACGAACGCUGGCGGCGUGCUUAACACAUGCAAGUCGAGUGCGCGUACCGUAGCAAUACGGUAUGGCGCACGGCGCACGGGUGCGUAACACGUGGGCAAUCUGCCCUUCGAUGGGGAAUAACUCUGGGAAACCGAAGCUAAUUCCGCAUAACAUUCCUUGGACUUUGGUUCGAGGACUCAAAGCCGGAAGGCGUCGAAGGAGGAGCCCGCGCACGAUUAGCUAGUUGGUAGGGUAACGGCCUACCAAGGCUUUGAUCGUUAGCUGGUCUGAGAGGAUGGCCAGCCACACUGGAACUGAGACACGGUCCAGACUCCUACGGGAGGCAGCAGUGGGGAAUCUUGCACAAUGGGCGAAAGCCUGAUGCAGCGACGCCGCGUGGGGGAUGAAGCAUUUCGGUGUGUAAACCCCUUUCGACUGGGACGAAUGCCUCGCAAGAGGAGUGACGGUACCAGUAGAAGAAGCCCCGGCUAACUACGUGCCAGCAGCCGCGGUAAGACGUGGGGGGCCAGCGUUGUUCGGAAUUACUGGGUGUAAAGGGUUCGUAGGCGGUGUGGCAAGUUGGGAGUGAAAUCUCUGGGCUCAACCCAGAGGCUGCUUCCAAAACUGCUGUGCUUGAGUGUGGGAGAGGCGCGUGGAAUUGCAGGUGUAGCGGUGAAAUGCGUAGAUAUCUGCAGGAACACCCGUGGCGAAAGCGGCGCGCUGGACCACAACUGACGCUGAGGAACGAAAGCUAGGGGAGCAAACAGGAUUAGAUACCCUGGUAGUCCUAGCCCUAAACCAUCAGGACUUGGGGUGGCCCGCGUAGGCGGGUCGUCCCGUAGCUAACGCGUUAAGUCCUGCGCCUGGGGAGUACGGUCGCAAGACUGAAACUCAAAGGAAUUGACGG